RNAcentral lists this ribosomal RNA (497 nucleotides) under uncultured bacterium. RNAcentral describes it as "partial 16S ribosomal RNA". It matches the Rfam family "Bacterial small subunit ribosomal RNA", at positions 28 to 507 of the family's 1533-position model. The record is from RNAcentral.
GACGAACGCUGGCGGCGUGCCUAAUACAUGCAAGUAGAACGCUGAAGAGAGGAGCUUGCUCUUCUUGGAUGAGUUGCGAACGGGUGAGUAACGCGUAGGUAACCUGCCUUGUAGCGGGGGAUAACUAUUGGAAACGAUAGCUAAUACCGCAUAACAAUGGAUGACACAUGUCAUUUAUUUGAAAGGGGCAAUUGCUCCACUACAAGAUGGACCUGCGUUGUAUUAGCUAGUAGGUGAGGUAAUGGCUCACCUAGGCGACGAUACAUAGCCGACCUGAGAGGGUGGUCGGCCACACUGGGACUGAGACACGGCCCAGACUCCUACGGGAGGCAGCAGUAGGGAAUCUUCGGCAAUGGGGGCAACACUGACCGAGCAACGCCGCGUGAGUGAAGAAGGUUUUCGGAUCGUAAAGCUCUGUUGUAAGUCAAGAACGGGUGUGAGAGUGGAAAGUUCACACUGUGACGGUAGCUUACCAGAAAGGGACGGCUAACUACGUG